GAUGAACGCUGGCGGCGUGCUUAACACAUGCAAGUCGAACGGUGAAGCAGAGCUUGCUCUGUGGAUCAGUGGCGAACGGGUGAGUAACACGUGAGCAACCUGCCCCCGACUCUGGGAUAAGCGCUGGAAACGGCGUCUAAUACUGGAUAUGAGCUGCGACCGCAUGGUCAGCGGUUGGAAAGAUUUUUCGGUCUGGGAUGGGCUCACGGCCUAUCAGCUUGUUGGUGAGGUAAUGGCUCACUAAGGCGUCGACGGGUAGCCGGCCUGAGAGGGUGACCGGCCACACUGGGACUGAGACACGGCCCAGACUCCUACGGGAGGCAGCAGUGGGGAAUAUUGCACAAUGGGCGAAAGCCUGAUGCAGCAACGCCGCGUGAGGGAUGACGGCCUUCGGGUUGUAAACCUCUUUUAGCAGGGAAGAAGCGAAAGUGACGGUACCUGCAGAAAAAGCGCCGGCUAACUACGUG
This 467-nucleotide ribosomal RNA is filed under the name uncultured bacterium. RNAcentral's name for it is "partial 16S ribosomal RNA". It matches the Rfam family "Bacterial small subunit ribosomal RNA", at positions 28 to 507 of the family's 1533-position model. The record is from RNAcentral.